UUUUAUGUCAUUGACUAAAAACGAUCCAAAAUGGAAACUCCAGUCCCCCACCCUUGGCAGCCGUUCUCUUAUUAUUAUUUUUUGUUUAUACAAUAAACCUCUUGAAAAGGGUUUUAAACUCUUUGGUUUCUUAAACCCUUUGCCUCAUUUCUACAGUAUUAUACAUAAUGGGAAAGAAAGCAGGAAAGUUCAAGAAGAAGGAAAACAACAACGCUCCAAAAAAAAAAGCAAAACGUGAUUUUUAAAAUGAAGAUGAUGAUAUGAUGAUAUGAUGAAUGAUGCUAUCGAUGCCUGUAUAGAUAAUCAGUUGAUGAGCCCUCAUAAUAGACGAUAUUGGUAUUCAGCAAAGGAUCGGAAAGACUCCACCUCAUUCGGAGUGCAGUCGAGUCUAUAAGUCAUCGUGUCAGAGUUUUUCAACAGAUUUACGGGUAGGCCGGUACCCUGUCCCAUUUGAUGUUAGUUAAUCUUAGAGGCUUUACAGACAGAGGUUCAUUUUGUACAGUACGUCAGAGACUUGAAGGCCCCUAUGUAUUCGUGUUUUAAGAAAAAUAAUUCAGGGAUACAGUAUUUUCCCACUUACAGUUGUAUAUUAUGAGUUGUGGCCAUGUUGGCCCAUGAUAGUUACAAAGAAAAUAAAAGAGUUGCAGAGUGGUUCGCUUGGACCAGUGUGGCUUCGAGUGCCAGUCACGCCUCCCAAGAUUUGGGGCGUGACAAUAUGCUUUUAACACUAAGUAGGAAAUGAGAGGUCUGUGGGAGUAUCCGGAAGAACAAGUAGCAAGUUGCAUAAGGCCAUGGUAGGUUAUUGGUGAUUUCAACCCUGUGUUAAAUAUAGGAUAGAAUAUGAGGAAAUCCUGUUUCAUGGGAUGAAAUAGUGGAGUUUAAUAAUUGUACAGAAGCAUGUAGAUUGACUGUUCUUCCUAAUCAAGGGUGCAGAUAUUUAUGGAAUGACAGACAUAGUGAUCAAAGAAUUUACUCUAAGAUAGAUUAGGCAUUCAUUAACAAUGAAUGGCUUGAUUCAAUGCCUGAUUGUAAAGCUAUGUUUCUUCCUAAGGCACAAGUGACCAUUGUCCAGUGAAGGUAGUGCUGAACAAUGAGAGACAUAAAGGUAGGAAAUCUUUUAAGUUUUGCUAUGUAUGGACUCAACAUCCACAAUUCUUGGAGCAGGUUGGGAGGGGUUGGAAUAUAGAGAUUGAUAGCUGAAAAAUGCUAAGAGUGGUUAGAAAAUUGAAAUUAUUAAAGAAGAUUCUGAGAGGCUUUAAUAAGAACUUCUUCAAGAAUAUUGAGGAUGAAGCCAAGGAGGAUAGGAAAGCUUUAUUGCAAGUUCAGAAGCAGAUACAACUUAGACCAACAGAUCCAAACUUACAACAAGAAGAAAAUUAGAAGUAUCAAAAGUUCAGGCAUUCAUCUUACUUAGCCGAGGUCUACUUGCAACAAAAAAGUAAAGCUACAUGGAUAAAGUUGGGGGAUGACAACACAAGAUACUUUUAUUCAGUAAUCAAACACAAAAGGCUCCAACAAGCAAUUACUCAAUUGAAGGAUGAACAGGAUACCUAAAAGACAGAUCCAGACAAUAUAGCUUAAAUAUUUGUCACAUAUUAUGAAGACAUGCUGGGAAACAAAGCAAGCAGUAGAUCCAAAGCAGCUGAAGCAUUCAUAAAGAAUGGUCAUGUUUUAACAACUGAACAAAAGGUAGAUGUAAUGAAACUUUUUGAAAGGAAGGGGGUGAAAGCUACUAUGUUUCAAAUUGACAGUAAUAAGAACCCAAGCCCUGAUGAUUAUGGCAAUGGCUUCUUUAAGUCGGCUUGGCCUAUUAUAGGGGAAGAGAUUACAGAUGCAGUUCUGGAGUUGUUCAAUAAUGGAAAGUUGUUGAAACAAUUAAAUGCAACUAGUAUUGCUUUGAUUCCUAAACUAAGCAAUCCAAAGUAUGCUAUCCAAUUUAGGCCUAUAUCCUGUUGCAAUGUAUUGUACAAGUGCAUUUCAAAAUUGUUGUAGCAGACUAAAAAUGGGUGUUCAACUUCUGGUAACAGAUAAUCAAUCUGCUUUUAUACCUGGUAGAUCUAUGCUCCACAAUAUACUUAUAUGCCAUGAUAUACUAAGGCACUAUAACAGAAAGACUACUCAUAGGUGUCUUAUGAAGAUAGACCUGAGGAAAGGUUAUGAAAUGGUAAAUUGGGAAUUCUUAUAGAAUGUUCUGAUUCAUUAUGGCUUUCCAACCAAGUUCACAAAAUUGGUUAUGACAUAUGUAAUUUCUACCAAGUUCUCAAUUAAUAUAAAUGGUGAAAAGUCGUAGUUUCUUUGAGGGUAAAAGGGGUCUCAGACAAGGUGAUCCCAUCUUACCCUUACUAUUUGUUCUUGUAAUGGAAUAUUUGUCCAAAACAUUGGGCAGUAUGAGUUCCCUACCAGAUUUUAAAUUUCAUCCUAUGUACAAGCAAUUGAAGUUGACACAUCUAGUAUUUGUUGAUGAUCUCAUGGUGUUCUGCAAGGGAGAAACAUGCUCAGUAAAUAGAGUCCUAGAGGCUUUAGCACAUUUCAGUAGUGUAUCAGGACUGGUGGCUAAUAUGGACAAAUCUAGCAUGUUUAUGGCAGACAUUGAUGAUCAUAUGAAGGAAAGUCUUUUAAGCAACAUUGGUUUCUCCCUAGGUACUUUUCCUAUAAGGGAGGCUUCAGGUGGUUAAUGCAGAGCUAUUCUCAAUUCAUAGCUUCUGGGGAGCAGUCUUUGUUUUACCUCAGAGUCUUUGUUUUACAAGAAGUGCAGAGAGUGCCUGUGGGGUGGCUCAGAUGAGAAGAAGAAGUUUUACCUUAUUGCGUAGGAGAAAGUGUGUCUGCCUAAGAAGUUUGGUAGUCUCAACAUUAAUAGUUGUAGGGAAUGGAAUAAAGCUUCUAUUGGGAAGUUACUGUGGCAGCUUAUUAUGAAAAAGGAUUCCUUAUAGGUCAAAUGGAUCCAUGAGAUCUAUAUGAAGUCUAAUAUUAAUAUUUGGACUCAUAAGGUUUAACAUGAGUGUAGUUGGUAUUAGAGAAAACUAAGUUCUCUUAUGGAAGAGAUGAGGAAUCGGGAACUAGGGUGACACUUACAAGCUGAGUGUCAUGGGAAUUACUCAAUCACAUGGAGUUAUUUAGCUAUUAAAGGUCAUCAGAGGAGAUGUCCAACAACUGAUCUUCACUGGAAUGCAAUAGCCCAAAGCAUAAGAUCAUCAUGUGGUUAGCUACUUAAGGAAGAAUACUCGCUAAGGCUAGACUGAGUUCUCUUCACAUUCAGGUGGAUGAAGAUAAAUGUGUGUUAUGUAAUGAUCAGGUAGUGGAAACUAAUCAACACGUGUUUGAAGAGUGUCCUUGGUCCAAAGCUGUUCAAGAGGAACUAAUGCACUAGGCAGGAAUUCAAAUGCAACCGUGAGAUGCACAAAGGGUUCUGUACAUAAUCAAAAGAAAGAAUUGGCAGCUGGUAAAUAAGGAAGUUAUUGUUGCAUUAUGGGCAGCAAUAAUAUAUCAUAUUUGGAAGGCUAGGAACUGGAAAACUUUUAGGAUUACAAUUGUAAAUAUUGAGAGUAUAAUAAUACAUAUUAAGAAAGAGCUAGUAGAUAGGAUUGGAUUGUUUAGACAAACUAAGAAAAGUCAGAGAUGUAGUGUACUGAUACAAAGGUUGAUGUGUAACUAGUGAUUUUCUAAGUCCUGAUCUGAAGCUCCCCAGAUAAGGAGUUUUGGGGUCUAGGUGCUUACUAGGUGUACUCUUAUUGUUUGUUACCAAUGGUA
Nicotiana tabacum (common tobacco) is the source of this 3747-nucleotide long non-coding RNA. RefSeq lists it as uncharacterized. NCBI's taxonomy places the organism in Eukaryota, Viridiplantae, Streptophyta, Magnoliopsida, Solanales, Solanaceae. The record is from RefSeq and is a predicted model, not a curated record.